UACACUCCUACGGGAGGCAGCAGUGGGGAAUUUUGGACAAUGGGCGAAAGCCUGAUCCAGCAAUGCCGCGUGAGUGAAGAAGGCCUUCGGGUUGUAAAGCUCUUUUGUCAGGGAAGAAACGGUGAAAGCUAAUAUCUUUUGCUAAUGACGGUACCUGAAGAAUAAGCACCGGCUAACUACGUGCCAGCAGCCGCGGUAAUACGUAGGGUGCAAGCGUUAAUCGGAAUUACUGGGCGUAAAGCGUGCGCAGGCGGUUUUGUAAGUCUGAUGUGAAAUCCCCGGGCUCAACCUGGGAAUUGCAUUGGGGACUGCAAGGCUAGAAUCUGGCAGAGGGGGGUAGAAUUCCACGUGUAGCAGUGAAAUGCGUAGAUAUGUGGAGGAACACCGAUGGCGAAGGCAGCCCCCUGGGUCAAGAUUGACGCUCAUGCACGAAAGCGUGGGGAGCAAACAGGAUUAGAAACCCUUGUAGUCCC
Molecule: ribosomal RNA, 473 nt
Filed under: uncultured organism
Description: partial 16S ribosomal RNA
Rfam family: Bacterial small subunit ribosomal RNA
Source: RNAcentral